CAGGACAGAAAUGCGAGAAGAGACAAAAACUACCGAUGGCCAAAUGGCGAAGUUCCUUUCGAAAUUGACACCCAUCAUUUCUCAUCGUCUGAGGAGAGAACCAUACAUACAGCCAUGCAGACAAUUCAUGAGAAGACCAAGGUCAAUGGUAAAGCGUGCAUCACUUUCAAACCCCGCACACACGAGCAUGCCUACAUACGAUACGCGGGAGGAUCGGGGUGCCAUACUCCUGUAGGACGUCACAGAGGCUUGGAUGU
This is a long non-coding RNA of Haliotis rufescens (red abalone), 257 nucleotides long. RefSeq lists it as uncharacterized. NCBI's taxonomy places the organism in Eukaryota, Metazoa, Mollusca, Gastropoda, Lepetellida, Haliotidae. The record is from RefSeq and is a predicted model, not a curated record. The transcript has 3 exons.